GUAACGCGGCCCCUGUGUAUAAAUAGGGCAGAUCCCGGCUGCCUUCCCCACUCCGAGAUGGGGGCAGCCCUUGGGAUAACUCUGCUCUGUCCCUGGACGUCUGCCCUAAGCCAGGACAGCAUCCCAUGGCUCGGAGGGGAGCGCAGGCUCGGGAGCCCCGGGUGGGAUUUACAGCAGCUGCAGCUGUCUGGAGAAGGGAUUUCAGAGGGGCCAGCCCGACUCCGAGCUGCGGAAUGGCGAAAUCCUGGGGGGAUGGCUGUGAGUGAGCCGGGAUAAGGGCGAGUCCCUGCCAGGAGCCCGCAGCGGGAUGAUCCUGACGGGCUCCUCUGCAACUCCCGUCCCUCGGGGAAGCUGAGCUGCCACUCCCGGAGGUGACAGGUGGCACUUGGGGACUCUGCCUCUCCCUCCAGCGCCGAAGCGAUGCCGAAGC
Long non-coding RNA from Serinus canaria (Common canary), 430 nucleotides. RefSeq lists it as uncharacterized. NCBI's taxonomy places the organism in Eukaryota, Metazoa, Chordata, Aves, Passeriformes, Fringillidae. The transcript is spliced from 3 exons. The record is from RefSeq and is a predicted model, not a curated record.